GCUAAUACCGGAUGAUUCAUAUCUAGAUAACUAGAUAUGCUAAAAGGAGCUUCGGCUUCACUUGAGAUGAGCUUGCGGUGUAUUAGCUAGUUGGUGAGGUAAUGGCUCACCAAGGCAACGAUGCAUAUCCGAGCUGAGAGGCUGAUCGGACACACUGGGACUGAGACACGGCCCAGACUCCUACGGGAGACAGCAGUUAGGAAUAUUCGUCAAUGGAGGAAACUCUGAACGAGCAAUGCCGCGUGAGUGAUGAAGGUCCUUUGGAUUGUAAACUGCUUUAGACAGGGAAGAAAAAGACAGUACCUGUAGAAUAAGCUCCGGCUAACUACGUGCC
This 334-nucleotide ribosomal RNA is filed under the name uncultured bacterium. RNAcentral describes it as "bacterial SSU rRNA". It matches the Rfam family "Bacterial small subunit ribosomal RNA", at positions 162 to 509 of the family's 1533-position model. The record is from RNAcentral.